This 252-nucleotide ribosomal RNA is filed under the name uncultured bacterium. Its description in RNAcentral is "partial 16S ribosomal RNA". It matches the Rfam family "Bacterial small subunit ribosomal RNA", at positions 525 to 776 of the family's 1533-position model. The record is from RNAcentral.
ACGGAGGGAUCAAACGUUAAUCGGAAUUACUGGGCGUAAAGCGCGCGUAGGCGGUUCGUUAAGUGGUAUGUGAAAGCCUCGGGCUUAACCUGAGAAUUGCAUGCCAUACUGACAAACUAGAGUGUGAUAGAGGGAGGUAGAAUUUCCUGUGUAGCGGUGAAAUGCGUAGAUAUAGGAAGGAAUACCAGUGGCGAAGGCGGCCUCCUGGAUCAACACUGACGCUGAGGUGCGAAAGCGUGGGGAGCAAACAGG